This 325-nucleotide long non-coding RNA is filed under the name Vigna radiata. RNAcentral's name for it is "long non-coding RNA (VRAD_LNC008027)". Lineage: Eukaryota; Viridiplantae; Streptophyta; Magnoliopsida; Fabales; Fabaceae. The record is from RNAcentral.
UAAUGAGGUUGGGCUAACAAGAAAGAAUUGGUUUUUCUAGAAUGCAAAAUCCUUGAAUCAAGAGAGCUAACAAAAUAUUCAACAUUUAAGCACCACUCUCACCAAUGUCUCUCAUUCCCAAUUUUUCCCUUUUCUUUUUCUUUUGCAUUGAGCUCUUCUUCAUGCUUUUCUUCUUUUCUUUUCUUUUUCUCUUGAAUUUUCUCUUUUCACAACAAUUGAGCUCAAUGCCUUUCAUUUGCUUUUUCAAUUUUCUCCCGUACAACCCCAAACUUGAACCUUUUCAUCACAUACAAGUUAGCUCCUCCCAACUCAAGGUAAAGAAUUU